CGGCCCUAGCUGAUGGGCCAAAGCAGCAAAAACUCCAAGCUCUGGCUUAUUUGCCCUCGAGAAAGGCACUGAAGCGUGGGAUCUGGCUGCCCAGGGUCGCCCAGGUAUCUGCUCUCUCCUUGAGUGGUUGCCACAGACACGCCUGUUCUUCCAAUCCCUGGUGCUUUUUGGGAGAAGGAAGGUUGUCGGCAAUGGGCCUAGCACAGUAAUUACUAGUGGCGCCUUAGGAACAAUUAUGAGAAAACAUCGUUAUCAUCCUCACCACUAACACUGAUGGAGGCCUUAGUAGCUGGCAAAGCGGGUUCGCCGGGCUCUCCCCGUGCCCAGGGCUCUACCGGUGCUCCAUCACUGAAUAAGCUUCCAGGACAGCGUGGCUCAAAGCGCAGCGGACGACACCUCGCACCAGGAUCUCCGGUGAUGCUCAAAUCAAGAGGCCCCGUUCUCAGAUUAAAAAUCAAAAAGCUCCCAACUUCCGGAAGUCCCCGUCCGCCCUCUCACCUUACCGUCUCUCUCCGUGUCCUGGCAGUGGUUCUGCAGGACCCAGUGACACUGCUUCGAGAGGCUCGGGGUCUCCGGCCCCACCACCGACAAGCUCUGGUCUCUGGACAGCUAACCCCCCGCCUUGGAGCGUUCUCCCACCCUGCCUCACUUAGUCGUUGGAGGACUAAGUGAUGGCACUGAUGGCUUUCCACCCCCUAUUCCGGGCUGACACCCAACAUUUGAAUGUGGCUGCAGGAAACAAAGUUACCACGGGGCUGGCUGACCUCAUGUGAAAUUCACGCCCACAAAUCCCAGGUGCGCGCGGAGAAUUUCCAGGCCAACCCAACCUCUCUGGUAAGCUUACUUCCCCGGUUUCUCAACGACUCUUUCACGUCUUCUGUUUCCUCAAACCCCCUUGCUUCCCUUCUCUGCCCUCUCCCAGCCAAUGCCCUAGGUCGAUACUUCAGGAACAAAGGGGAAGCAGUGAGACAAGAACUCCACCGAGACGUCCACGGCCUGACCUGCAGGCAGAUGCCCCUCUCUGCUUAAAAUUUCUGUUCUCAUCAGGAAAAUGUCAUUAUUCCUUAAAAUUAACUGUCCUCUGGAUCUUCCCCUUCCUGAGAGCUUAGAGCCGCUCUUUCCCGUGUCAUCAUUAUUUCCCUGCCACUGGAUCAUUAAAAAAAAAAAAAAAAAAAGAGCAUCUCCCAUGUUAAAUUAAAAAAAAAAAAAAAAUCCUCCUGCUUAAUCCCAGGACCCCCUGCAAACAUCACAGCAUCUCUCCGUUUCCCUUCCCAUCAGUGAUGCGUCUAACUCUAUAUCCUCCUGCUGUUUCUACUUCCUCAAAGCCUGUUUCCUUCAUCACUGACUCCAGCUGGACGCCCACCCCCACAAGUGUAACUAAGUCCCCAGCGUCACAGGGGCCCCUCGUGCUAACCAGGGCAGGGAGCACAUUUCUGACCUCAUCUUCCUGCGGUUCCCCAGCACCUUGCAGCGUAUCCAAUCGUGCGGCCCUUUACACCCUCUCUUGACGUCCAGCCCGCCCUGAUCCUCCGUCUGUCCUACCUGACAGCUGCUGCUCCGUGCUUUAACGUCACCCCGCCCCCUGGGCUCCCAAUCUGACUGCCUGCACCACCCACAGUCUGGCAGCAGAAAACCUUCUGGGUUCUACCAUACGGUCCUAGUUCAUUUCAUCUAGUUCCUUGGCUUUAGAUAUCAUUCAUGUGCCAAUGGCUCCCAGACUUUUCCCUGGUCCCUGCUGCAGACACUUACCUCACAUCCCUCCUUGUGCACAGAAGACUCCACGUCACACCACACCUUGGAGUGACGAGGAGGCUCGAUGUCCUGCUCUCCAUGGCGCUCACGUGCCCGUGUUCACUCGGUAAAACUUCAUCCUUGAUGACGGUCGUGUUUCUCUGGCUGAAAUAAAAAGCAUUUUCCUUUUAAAUUAACAUUCUGGAACCACGCUCUCAGUUGCUCUUUUCCAUAAACUUGCUCCCUAGACGCCCCCCGAGGAAGGCCCAAAUCCCAACGUUAUCCUUGGUGAUUCUCUUCCCACACCCAGCUCACCGGCACACCCUGCCUUCUCUGCUGCCAAAACAAAGCCCCUCUCGGCCCUCUCCCCACCACCUGGUCAAGCCAUCAGCGCCUCUCCCUGAGUUCCUGGAAGUUCCCCCACGGGUUCUGUGGAUCCCGUACCGCCUCCUUUCUUCCAUCCUGCCCCAGAAGGAGCAUCCAGAGUGAGCUGACAAGAGCUGCAGUCAGACCCUGCUGCUUCCCUACUCUCCCCUUACAGAAACGAAAACCGGCCAACGGCCUCCCGUGGCAUUUAGGCCUGUUUCCUGCCGCCAUCAAGAAUACCAGUUCCCCCUAAACACAGAUGUCUGUUGGCGGGUGCAUCCCCACCCAACCCAAUUUAAAACACUUCCUGGCCAUAUGGUAGGUGCUCAAUACAUAUAUGUUGAAAGAAACAAAUGUGCACAGCACGCAAUGCAU
Molecule: long non-coding RNA, 2472 nt
Organism: Physeter macrocephalus (sperm whale)
Lineage: Eukaryota; Metazoa; Chordata; Mammalia; Artiodactyla; Physeteridae
Exons: 3
Source: RefSeq, a predicted model, not a curated record